Molecule: ribosomal RNA, 459 nt
Filed under: uncultured bacterium
Lineage: Bacteria
Description: partial 16S ribosomal RNA
Rfam family: Bacterial small subunit ribosomal RNA
Source: RNAcentral
CCUACGGGGGGCUGCAGUGAGGAAUAUUGGUCAAUGGGAGAGAUCCUGAACCAGCCAAGCCGCGUGAGGGAAGACGGCCCUAUGGGUUGUAAACCUCUUUUGUCGGAGAACAAAACGCGGGACGUGUCCCGGACUGCGUGUAUCCGAAGAAAAAGCAUCGGCUAACUCCGUGCCAGCAGCCGCGGUAAUACGGAGGAUGCGAGCGUUAUCCGGAUUUAGUGGGUUUAAAGGGUGCGUAGGCGGUCCGUUAAGUCAGCGGGAAAAUUGCGGGGCUCAACCCCGUAGAGCCGUUGAAACUGGCAGCCUUGAGUUGGCGAGAGGUACGCGGAAUGCGCGGUGUAGCGGUGAAAUGCAUAGAUAUCGCGCAGAACUCCGAUUGCGAAGGUAGCGUACCGGCGCCAGACUGACGCUGAGGCACGAAAGCGUGGGGAGCAAACAGGAUUAGAUACCCUUGUAGUC